AUGGUAAAAUAUAAAAUAAUUAGGAAGUAAUGAGUUGCGAGUAUUUGUUACCUUUAUUUUAAGUAUAAUUUCAUUUUAAGUUUAUAUAAUUUGUAAGUUUAUAUACUUUGUUAGCUUAAUAAUUCAAUAAUAGAUCCAUCCAAGAACUGACUCGCAAAAUUCCUGAAAAUUUAAUAAUGGGCUCUUGUGAGCCAUGGAUGCCAGCUCCAGUUUACUUCUGCCAUCAUCUCAAACACACCUACAGGCACAUAUAGACUCCUGUGCGCUUCAUUUUCUCCACAGCACUGAUCCCCUGGCUGCAUGGCUUAUCGUGGGCUCCUCAGGACCUCCCCUAGUCCCUUUAAUUGUCUUUCCUUACCACCUUGAUCAGUGCCUGGCACAAACCUCCCGCCUCAGCCUCCUCAGUAGUUGGGACUGCAGGUGCACACCACCAUGCCCAGCUGGCUUUUUACAUUUUUGUAGAGAGGGGGCUCUCGCUAUGUUGUCCAGGCUGUUUCAGCCUUUUAUUCGUGGAAGCCCCACUGUCUAUUGUCAGUGUGCUCAGAAUUAGAUUACUGUCCCCAUUUCUUUUGAGAAAGCACAAGACGUCUCAGUCUCUAGUUCCCCAAAUAAUGCUUCCUCUCAGAAGUGGAGACAUCGUAGGACUCCCCUGCUAGGGCUUUGAUGAACUUUGAAUGAAACCAUGCACGGAAAGUGCUUAUCACAGUGCCUGGCACUCCGUAGCCCCUGAGUAAACAGCAGCCACCAGUGGCAGCAGCAGCAGCAUUAGUACUAAUAUCGUAAACAUGAACUUGAGAGACAGGGUGCAAGUCUAAUCAGCAGUUCUCUUUCUGCCUCUCAUCUCCCUCCACGAUCCUAUUUUAAGCCACACUCUUUAUCCUUUAGAUGGUUUUAUGAGAUUGAGAUUUUUCUCAGGCAUCUUGUCCCUGAGUGCAGCAGCGCCAUCUUGUGGUCAUUACUGGUUAUGGCGCUGUCCUAGAUCUAAGCUCCCAAACUCCGAGCCGCAGCCAGAACCCAGGCUUGGGAGGCAGCAGGGAUUUUGAAAGCCAAUGUGGCAGUCGGGCCAACACACCAGAUUACACACUACACCCUAAGAGGGUUUAAGUUUCCUCUGCGUCAUUUCGGGACAGCUGCUUAGUGUUGACCAUUUCUGUUUGUGGCUGUCCUCUCUCAUAAUGGGCUCUGUCUUGCCCUUUCUCUGCAUCUGCUGCUCCCUCUGUCUUGAGCUUUCAGGCACCGUCUACAAACGGGGUUUAAAAUGAGCUAGCGCCAUCUACUGGGCGAAUGCCGUAAGGUCGGUUGUGAGGUCCCGGAAUCUGCAAAGGAAUGAAUGAAUUACAAAUCUGUGGCUUUAUGGGGGGAAUGUCGAGAAUCGGGCACACGCUGAAGUGUGAGAACCACUGCCAUUAUGGAGAAGAGGCUUCCCGCCCCCUCACCUGCCACUCUAGAAAUCCAGAGAAGAGAUUCCACUUGGAUUAAGACUUGCAUAAGUGGGGAGUUGAGUCCAGUCUCUUUCCCCCACUGCAAUACCCUGUUGCGGUGACAUGUAAUAAUAAUAAAAAGACUUGCAUGAACUCCUU
This 1580-nucleotide long non-coding RNA is filed under the name Homo sapiens (human). Its description in RNAcentral is "HSALNT0385895". The record is from RNAcentral. Lineage: Eukaryota; Metazoa; Chordata; Mammalia; Primates; Hominidae.